RNAcentral lists this ribosomal RNA (381 nucleotides) under uncultured bacterium. Its description in RNAcentral is "bacterial SSU rRNA". It matches the Rfam family "Bacterial small subunit ribosomal RNA", at positions 28 to 409 of the family's 1533-position model. The record is from RNAcentral.
GACGAACGCUGGCGGCGUGCUUAACACAUGCAAGUCGAGCGGUAAGGCCCUUUCGGGGGUACGACGAGCGGCGAACGGGUGAGUAACACGUGGGUGACCUGCCCUUAGCUCUGGGAUAAGCCUGGGAAACUGGGUCUAAUACCGGAUAUGACUCCAUGACGCAUGUUGUGGGGUGGAAAGCCUUGUGCGGCUAGGGAUGGGCCCGCGGCCUAUCAGCUUGUUGGUGGGGUGAUGGCCUACCAAGGCGACGACGGGUAGCCGGCCUGAGAGGGCGACCGGCCACACUGGGACUGAGACACGGCCCAGACUCCUACGGGAGGCAGCAGUGGGGAAUCUUGCGCAAUGGGCGAAAGCCUGACGCAGCGACGCCGCGUGAGGGAU